AUGAAUUUGAGCUCAAGCCCUUUGUUUUUAUUCACCUUCUUCAUUGUCUUCAACACCAACCCAGAUCAAGCAAGCAGGGCACUUGGCCUCUAUCUUGCUAAAAAACCCAACUAGUCGCUCAGCCACCCAACAAAUCCACUCUCACAUUCUCACCUCUGGCUUUCUCCUCCAUCACUCCAUUUCAACUGCCCUUCUUCUCCUCUUCAACACUUUGCUUCGUUGCUAUUCCUUUGGCCCCUUCCCUCGUGAAGCUUUCACUUUCUACAAACACCUCCAAUAUUUUUCCCUUUCCUUCGACUCCUUCACCUACUCCUUUCUUCUCCACGCCUCCAUUACCUUAAAAUCCAACAACCCAGGUAACCAAAUCCAUGCCCUCACUCACAAACUCGGUUUCCAUUUCCGUGUCUAUGUUCAGACUGCCUUGCUUAUUAUGUAUGUUGCUUGUGGCUGCUCCUUGCUCUCCACGUGUUCUACGAAAUGCCCGAUUGGAAUUCUGUCGCUUGGAAUUUCAUGAUAA
Molecule: long non-coding RNA, 517 nt
Filed under: Prunus dulcis (almond)
Lineage: Eukaryota; Viridiplantae; Streptophyta; Magnoliopsida; Rosales; Rosaceae
Description: sRNA ncRNA
Source: RNAcentral